GACGAACGCUGGCGGCGCGCCUAAUACAUGCAAGUAGAGCGCACAGUUUAUACCGUAGCUUGCUACACCAUAGACUGUGAGUUGCGAACGGGUGAGUAACGCGUAGGUAACCUGCCUGGUAGCGGGGGAUAACUAUUGGAAACGAUAGCUAAUACCGCAUAAUAUUAAUUAUUGCAUGAUAAUUAAUUGAAAGGUGCAAUUGCACCACUACCAGAUGGACCUGCGUUGUAUUAGCUAGUAGGUGAGGUAACGGCUCACCUAGGCGACGAUACAUAGCCGACCUGAGAGGGUGAUCGGCCACACUGGGACUGAGACACGGCCCAGACUCCUACGGGAGGCAGCAGUAGGGAAUCUUCGGCAAUGGACGAAAGUCUGACCGAGCAACGCCGCGUGAGUGAAGAAGGUUUUCGGAUCGUAAAGCUCUGUUGUAAGAGAAGAACGGGUGUGAGAGUGGAAAGUUCACACUGUGACGGUAUCUUACCAGAAAGGGACGGCUAACUACGUG
RNAcentral lists this ribosomal RNA (505 nucleotides) under uncultured bacterium. Its description in RNAcentral is "partial 16S ribosomal RNA". It matches the Rfam family "Bacterial small subunit ribosomal RNA", at positions 28 to 507 of the family's 1533-position model. The record is from RNAcentral.